UACAGAGGUCUCAAGCGUUGUUCGGAUUCAUUGGGCGUAAAGGGUGCGUAGGCGGCGCGGUAAGUCGGGUGUGAAAUCUCCGAGCCUAACUCGGAAACUGCGUCGGAUACUAUUCAUCUCGAGGAAUGGAGGGGAGACUGGAAUUCUCGGUGUAGCAGUGAAAUGCGUAGAUAUCGAGAGGAACACCAGUGGCGAAGGCGAGUCUCUGGACAUUUCCUGACGCUGAGGCACGAAAGCCAGGGGAGCAAACGGG
Molecule: ribosomal RNA, 253 nt
Filed under: uncultured bacterium
Lineage: Bacteria
Description: partial 16S ribosomal RNA
Rfam family: Bacterial small subunit ribosomal RNA
Source: RNAcentral